GCCUGUGCCAAUUGAUAGAAAAGUUCUAUGGUGGAAAAACUUUUUACUAUGUUGCUUUGAUGCACAAGAAGACUAUCGAGUUUGCUAUUUAUAAAAUGCAGCAAUUAUAUAGAAAAUAUUUGCCUUUGAUGAUUUCAAUUCUUCUGGAACUGAAAUCCAUGCAUUUAUUAGACCUUUUAGCAGUAAUAUUAGAAAUAAAAACACGUCAAAACCGUCUGGGUAUUAUGUACAUGCAACAAGACGUUUAUUCCAAAAUACUAAGCAGCAUUAUGAACGGCGAUAACAAGACUACAAAAAUGUAUCUUAGGUUGUCCUCUGCUUCGUUUCGAAAAAUUGUAACUCACAUUCCCAAAAAGCGCCACGGAUGGUCAGUGGAGUACGAAGUCAUUUGCUUAAUAAAGUCUUCAAAUUAUUUAUAUUGUUCUUACUCACUUCCAGCCUUCGUUGCUGUUGGCGUUCUUUGAACUGAACCAAACAUCCUUGUCAAUGCGCUUUUCCAGAAGGAUUCUGCGUUCUGAACUGCUCCCUGUAAAAUAGUAUUUUUAAUUAAAAAAAUACAUAACGCCUUUUCAUAUGUAAAUCUGAAAUUAAAUCUUACAAGUUA
This is an RNA transcript of Rhagoletis zephyria (snowberry fruit fly), 604 nucleotides long. RefSeq lists it as uncharacterized. Lineage: Eukaryota; Metazoa; Arthropoda; Insecta; Diptera; Tephritidae. The record is from RefSeq and is a predicted model, not a curated record.